UAAACACAAACUAGCUAAUCGAGGUCUACAGGAUCACUAGAAAUCUCCAGGCAGCUGGAGGGAAAGACCUCAUGAAGACACACCCCUGCUGUAAACUACAUUGACAAGUUCAGUUGCUCUGGUGUGUGUCACAUGAAGCCACACCUUCCACUGGCCUUGCCUUCCCUACCCAGGACAAAUAUGUAAGAGGGGAAGAGCAGUAAACUGUAUGUUAUUCUCCUCUAACCUCUAUCACAUCCUGCGCACCUGAAAUACCAAGCAUAAACCAUGUCUUUCACUCCAAAAUCAUACAGUAAAACAGUUACAACUUCAAGCACUAGAUCCACUAAAGUGGAUGAUGG
Long non-coding RNA from Cyprinus carpio (common carp), 341 nucleotides. RefSeq lists it as uncharacterized. Lineage: Eukaryota; Metazoa; Chordata; Actinopteri; Cypriniformes; Cyprinidae. The record is from RefSeq and is a predicted model, not a curated record. The transcript is spliced from 4 exons.